UACGAAGGGGGCUAGCGUUGUUCGGAAUUACUGGGCGUAAAGGGCGCGUAGGCGGUACUUCAAGUCAGGCGUGAAAGCCCCGGGCUCAACCUGGGAACCGCGCUUGAGACUGGAGAACUAGAGUUCGGGAGAGGAUGGUGGAAUUCCCAGUGUAGAGGUGAAAUUCGUAGAUAUUGGGAAGAACACCGAUGGCGAAGGCAGCCAUCUGGACCGACACUGACGCUGAGGCGCGAAAGCUAGGGGAGCGAACGGG
RNAcentral lists this ribosomal RNA (253 nucleotides) under uncultured bacterium. Its description in RNAcentral is "partial 16S ribosomal RNA". It matches the Rfam family "Bacterial small subunit ribosomal RNA", at positions 524 to 776 of the family's 1533-position model. The record is from RNAcentral.